This is a long non-coding RNA of Drosophila hydei, 736 nucleotides long. RefSeq lists it as uncharacterized. The transcript has 3 exons. The record is from RefSeq and is a predicted model, not a curated record. NCBI's taxonomy places the organism in Eukaryota, Metazoa, Arthropoda, Insecta, Diptera, Drosophilidae.
UAACGAAGUUUUUCCUUUAUUUUAAAUGUAAUUCAAACUACCUGCAACUUUAAAAGUUCCCUCUAUAAGUUCUCGCUAGGGUUUCCCAUGCCUCGACGCUCUCCCUUCAAAUGCUAUAUGUAUUCUAGCUUCAAAGCACAUAAAGAUUGCUGCCGCUACAACCACAUCAACAAAAACACACACAGCAUAUACAUAACGGUUAUGAUUGUUGACUGCGCCUCAUGACAAAUCUGAAAUGCGAACAGUAGCAGGAGCUGGAGCUGGAACUAAGACUGGAGCUGUAACUGGAACUGGAACCGCCGGAAACAAGAUGAAGCAGACGACAAUAAACAGGCGACAAAAGCUGCCCAUUUGGCUGGAGUCAAGGCAACAGAAGAGCGGUGAAGGGGCAGAAAGAAGACCGGGGGCAAAGGGAUGUGAAUAAAUUUCAAGAUAUGCGUCGUUCUUGUCGCUCUGCUUGUUGUUGUGGAGUUGCUUCUGCUGUCGUGGGGUUAAAGUACCGUUGAAAUGCUUUCAGCAUUUUUCAUAUUCAUAACAUAGCAGCAGAGCGCAAGCGAGAGAGAGAGGGAGGCACGGACAGAGAGGUGAGGCAGUGGGCGAGGGGAAGGGCUGCAUUUCAAGCAAACAAACAGAAAAUAAAUAAAAGGCGUAAAGACGUAAAAGCAAAAUAGGGAAAACAAGAAACCAGAAGCAAAACGCCGAGAGCAGCUCCAAGGGAUGGUCACAACUUGCGCCA